AGAAUAAAACAAAACGUGAAAGCACAAAUUCUUAGCUGUGGCCAUUAGCACCACGACACUUUCAGCUCGGGAACAAAGGGCAGGAUUGAUUUGAUUGGCUACACUCCAGGGACUCCGUCCUGGCCCACACAAGACUGGGUCGCAGACUGAAGAAGCUGCUCUUAUCCACAGACCCAGGGUCUGACACUGGGCAGAUACCAAUUCGUGAACCCCAAUUUUCUCAGCUAUCAGACCAGAUUAAAGCUUGGGGAGCCGAGGUCCACUCUCCCAGACUAUACUGAAGAACACACCACCGAUGGCUCACAGACAGAAAGGGCUCUGCUUCCAAAGAGCAGGCCAGUUUCCCCAGCCCCGGGCGAUGUUGAUGCUCCACCUCUCCCAGUCUCUCCGCCUCUCAGGCCAAGUCUGAGCAGCGCAUGGAGAGGCCUGGCUUUUCUGCGUGUUGCCAAACAGAGAGGUAACAACCAUCACCGCGGGCUCCCUGCGUGACGUCCUCCAUCUCAAUGGGUAGUCACCAAAUAAACAGAUGACAACCUAAGCCCCUUAGUGCACCCCACGGCCGGCGGCUCCCUACCUGAACCCUCCACCUUUAACCCCAAAUCCAAGCUAAGGGGUUUCCUUCCAUUAUUUGAAUAUACUCUUCUGCAAGUACAUAAGGUACAAGAGCCUUAACCCAUCAAGUCCUCGGUCCUUGUGAGGGAGCCGGCCAGAUUGUUUCACAGCUGCCAGCCACCGGCUUCUGGUCCAGAAACCUGGGGUGGACAUCCCUAAGCGCACAGUGCUCAAUCAGGGCAGCAGACAGCCUUGUCUCCUCGUGCCCUUCCCACCCUUCACUGCACAUGCUUGCCCUGGACGGUGAGAACCGUACAUCCCUGCCCGACUCUGGAAUAGGUACAUCCGGGGUGUGGCUCUCGUUGGAGAGCAGCCUCAGGGGUAGCCGCCAUCGAAGUCCCCCGGGGACAGCCCUGGAACAGCGCUCGCGGCUCCAGCCAUCCGCAGCUGCACGACGGCCUUAGAGACGCUCAGUCUCUGGAGUUGCUGCGACCUAAGGCCUGGCGAGGACACAGGGGGGAGCUGCAGGACCCGGAGGCGCGCGGCAGCCCGCCCUGGGCAGGGCGGGGCAGAGCAGGGCCGCCGCCUCCGCGGGUCCCACUGGGACGGUCCUCUCCGGCCGGGGGCUCGGUGAGCAGGGCGGCAGACGGGGCGCACCCCGGCCAGGCUCACAUGGACCUCCCGCGCCGCUGGCUCUUUCGGAUGUUGUUGCUCGUUGCCACCAGCUCUGGGAUCCUCCUCAUGCUGUACUCCUCGGCGGGGCAGCAGUCCCCUGAGACCCAGGUUCCCGCCAGGAACAUGGCGUACCCACGAGCAUUCUUUGACCCCAAACCACCGAAUUCGGAAAACAGAAAGAGCCGACUUUGCCAACACUCGCUGUCCCUGGCCAUUCAGAAGGACCGUCGCUUCCGCAGCCUGUUUGACCUCUCCACCCCGGUGCUGCUGUGGGAGGGCCUCUUCACUCAGGAACUCUGGAAUAAUCUGAGCCAGCACAAAGUCCCCUACGGAUGGCAGGGGCUCUCCCACGAAGUCAUUGCCUCUACCCUGAGACUUCUGAAAAGCCCGGAGAGCGGGGAGCUGUUUGGUGCCCCCAGGAAACUACCUCUAAGCUGUAUUCGCUGUGCCGUGGUGGGUAACGGAGGUAUUCUGAAUGGGUCCCGGCAGGGCCAGAAAAUCGAUGCUCAUGACUAUGUCUUCAGACUCAAUGGCGCCAUAACCGAAGGCUUUGAGCGCGACGUGGGCACUAAGACCUCCUUCUACGGUUUCACCGUGAACACCAUGAAGAACUCGCUCAUCUCCUACGCCAAACUGGGCUUCACCUCUGUGCCACAAGGGCAGAACCUGCGCUACAUCUUCAUCCCCUCCAGCAUCCGUGACUACCUGAUGCUGAGAUCCGCCAUCCUGGGUGUGCCUGUUCCAGAAGGUCCUGAUAAAGGGGACAGCCCCGGCCCUACCGCUACCACAGGCGCUUAACACUACCCUCGCUCUCCCUUCAAUACGAUGGUGCUGGACGCUCUGUCCACUUCUAUCGUGGGACCUAGGCCUCACACCUAUUUUGGACCGGAAACCUCUGCCAGUAAAUUCAAGCUCCUGCACCCAGACUUCAUCAGCUACCUGACAGAGAGGUUUCUGAAAUCCAAGCUGAUUAACACACGAUUUGGAGACAUGUAUAUGCCUAGCACGGGAGCGCUCAUGCUGCUGACAGCCUUGCACACCUGUGACCAGGUCAGUGCCUACGGAUUCAUCACAAACAACUACCAGAAAUACUCAGACCACUAUUUCGAACGAGAAAAGAAACCACUGAUAUUCUACGCAAACCACGACCUGUCCCUGGAAGCUUCGCUAUGGCGAGACCUGCACAACGCCGGCAUCCUUUGGCUGUACCAACGCUGACCCCAAAGUACCGGAUUUCUGUGCCUCAAAAGCACUUUUUUUGACCUUUCAACUUCUGGAAGAGGCAACACUCCCCUUGGCCCUCUACUUCCCAACAGAGGGUAUUGAGACAAGACCCGUCACAUAAUACCAGAGCCUGUUCAAUGCACGACACUGUCACAGGUCAAGACAACUCUUCUGAGGCUUAGCCGAGGGAGGGAAGACUGCUUUGUAGGAUUCGUUUUAAAACUGAACAUUAAAUGAGACAAUGAUGCUCACCAGCAAACAGGCGGGCAGGCACAUCUCAGAGCUAAGUAGUCCAAAGCCAGCACCUGGCCCUGGGCAACUAGAAACAUUGAUGGAACCACUCAGGGCUAUCCAGGAACCUCGAUCGAGCAGAGCUGAAACCAAUGGCAUGUUGAGUCCCAAAUGCCAAAGCCAUUCAACCUAGAACACCUUAGGCAUUAUAGGAACAGGACACUUCUGCCUCCUGAUAGAGGAUGAGAAACAGAGGCAGAAUGUAGUUUGAAGCUAGAUAAUAGGGUGUGAUGGAUGACCAUUUUGUCUUUUUUGUGUUGGUAGAGUAGAAGACACAAACUCCAAGGUGGUGUGUCUGGAGGGAAGGGGUGUGGCGGCACUCAGGACAGAGUUUGGUGGCACCUGCACCGAGGUUCAGGCUAGGAGUACCUAGCACCAAAGAGACAAACUUUGUGUAAGUCGCCACCACUGACGAGUCUCACUGGAGAGGCACAUCAGUCCUUGUCACCAACAGGAAACUGAGUGAUGGACCCUCACUUCACAGCUUCAAUAAACAGCACCUGAUGCAGUCCAA
This is an RNA transcript of Mus musculus (house mouse), 3256 nucleotides long. It is a transcript of the gene named ST6 (alpha-N-acetyl-neuraminyl-2,3-beta-galactosyl-1,3)-N-acetylgalactosaminide alpha-2,6-sialyltransferase 2, with no coding region annotated. Lineage: Eukaryota; Metazoa; Chordata; Mammalia; Rodentia; Muridae. The record is from RefSeq and is marked validated. The transcript has 9 exons.